This is an RNA transcript of Acanthaster planci (crown-of-thorns starfish), 1824 nucleotides long. It is a transcript of the gene named NKAP-like protein, with no coding region annotated. The record is from RefSeq and is a predicted model, not a curated record. Lineage: Eukaryota; Metazoa; Echinodermata; Asteroidea; Valvatida; Acanthasteridae.
CAUGCAUUGAUCGCCGUUUGCAUGGAACUCUUCAGCGAUUGUGUCCAAUGCGUAUUGCAUAAGAGCCUGCAAAUCGUGGCGCGUCCGCCUUCAUUUAUGACGAAGUCACUUACUCAGGAACAGGUACAUUUCUGCAACACUGGGCUGGUCUGUCACUGCAUAAUUAUGCCAAGGAGAAACAUUUUCUGCAGUACAAGCAUGCUGUGUACUGCGGUUAAGGUCAAGUUCAGCACACGGUCGACCUGGGAAGAGUUUCUGGAUGUUGUGUUGCUACUGGCCUGGGGACACAUGCUCUUGAGCUGAGGGACACCAUCGGUGCAAUACAUACAUACCAAUGCAGUAGUUGCUGGGUUAACCCGAGUCAAAUAUAUAAUUUAUAAAGCAGUCAAACAUAAGAAUGACAUGGGAUUACCUGGGUAAGCAUCGAGCUCACUACAAGCCCAUCCAGGACCUGUACUUCAGCAUGGCUCUGGACUCUGACACGCCCAAGUUACUCUCCAUCAGACAUUAUAGAGCGUUGAUUUGGGAAGACCUUGUUGCCAGUUGAAGGUAGUGCAAUGGCUGCCUACGUUGAGACCAGCUAACGUAUACAUGUAUAAUCCUUCGUCAUGGUGCGAGUUGAAGGACCAGUGAUGAAAUCUCCAUAGCUGCAGACAUUUCAUAAGUAACACAGACAUUGACAUGGAAGCUGUGCGCAAGAACCAUAUCUACAAUGCCGAUGAGAAGAGUGCCCUCGCCUCCUUCAAUGGGGAGAGAAGCAAGAUGGAAGACAAGAUCCUAUAGGACUUCCCAGAGAUGAUCCGACAAGCACGUCAAGAAGAGGAAAUAACUCAGAUAGAUGCCAGUCCUGACCUCCAUCACUGAGGAGGAACAGUUUCCAAGACUGCAUGAGGGAUCCUUAUCAGAAUCUUUACGGCAUUGAUUCACAAAAAGGCAAGGAAAGGACUCAAUCUUCUCAGGGGUCAGCUUGUAAGUCCGAUGCCUCAUAGGUCCGAAGCCUCAUAGGUCCGACAAAUGUGUUUAAAAGUUUUUUCGGCCCAUAUGGCAUAGAUCCAACUGCUCAAAAAAGUCCUCAAAAAGUCCGAUGUUUGAUUUGGCGCUCGUUACAAGCGUAUUGAAGACAGUGUAGGAACAAGACUGGUUCCCAGUGUCAAGUAUGGUGUACUGUUUAUGACACAAAGCGUCGCCUUGCGCGGGCCCUUAAUAUUCUACGCCUUAUUAUUCUGACACCUCAUAACUCCGAAAAUUCGAACUUUUGAGGCGUCGGACCUAAGCCUCAAACUCACGAUAAGCACCCUCUCACAUGUCAGAGAUGCAGUUCUUUGCUUCCAUCUUAGUAUGUAAUGGAGCAAGUCUAUCUGCAUUUGUACACUACUCAAAACGAUCAAGGAUCAGAAUUUUAAAGAACGGAUUCUCAAAUAUGAGUGUCGUUUAAUGUGGUUAAAUGUUCUGGCAACAUAAGUCCAAUGCAUUCUUUACAAAGAACUGAAGUCCCGUAUGACAUUGAAAAACACUUUGGUGAGCACAUUGUUGAGGCCUCCUACACAGCCCUAAAAAUGAUAAAAGUGGAGUUAUUGGCGCAUUUGAGUUAGGAUGAUAUCCUGGUAUAUAAUGUGGGGGCUCAAUUUAUGAGCUAGAAUGAUAUCCUGAUAAUUUGAGGGCGCUGUUUAUAAGUUAGAAUGAUAUCCUGGUAAUGGGAGGGUGCUAUUUAUGAGCUAGAAUGAUAUCCUGAUAAUGGGAGGGCACUAUUUAUGAGUUAGAAUGAUAUCUUGAUAUUGUGAGGGCGCUAUUUAUGAGUUAGAAUGAUAUCCUGAUAAUGUGAGG